Molecule: non-coding RNA, 21 nt
Filed under: Arabidopsis thaliana (thale cress)
Lineage: Eukaryota; Viridiplantae; Streptophyta; Magnoliopsida; Brassicales; Brassicaceae
Source: RNAcentral
CCACGGUGUCUUAUUGGUUGG